Rhodofomes roseus is the source of this 110-nucleotide non-coding RNA. The record is from the annotation of a RefSeq genome assembly. NCBI's taxonomy places the organism in Eukaryota, Fungi, Basidiomycota, Agaricomycetes, Polyporales, Fomitopsidaceae.
GGCAAGAUGGCCGAGCGGUCCAAGGCGUGUGACUCAAGCGAAAGCUUGCCUGCUGUAGCGGGUCUUCUCAUCUGAGUAUUCAGGCACGGGUUCGAAUCCCGUUCUUGUCA